This 65-nucleotide transfer RNA is filed under the name Chrysops dissectus. Its description in RNAcentral is "tRNA-Cys". The record is from RNAcentral. Lineage: Eukaryota; Metazoa; Arthropoda; Insecta; Diptera; Tabanidae.
GGCUUUAUAGUCAAUAAUGAUAUUAGACUGCAAUUCUAAAGGAGUAAAGUAUUUUACUAAGGCUU